AGGGCUAUAGCUCAGUUGGUAGAGCAGGUAAAAAGGAGCUUUGUCAAAAGCUCAUGCAGCAAUUUUCUAAGUGGACUUCUAAUCCCCUUGUCGCCGGUUCGAGUCCGGCUAGCCCUG
Molecule: transfer RNA, 117 nt
Filed under: Lachnospiraceae bacterium
Lineage: Bacteria; Bacillati; Bacillota; Clostridia; Lachnospirales; Lachnospiraceae
Description: tRNA-Arg
Rfam family: tRNA
About the family: Transfer RNA (tRNA) molecules are approximately 80 nucleotides in length. Their secondary structure includes four short double-helical elements and three loops (D, anti-codon, and T loops).
Source: RNAcentral